This is a long non-coding RNA of Ictalurus punctatus (channel catfish), 1181 nucleotides long. The record is from Ensembl. Lineage: Eukaryota; Metazoa; Chordata; Actinopteri; Siluriformes; Ictaluridae.
UUGGCCAGGGUUUUGGUAACAUAACAGUUUAGGUCAGCAAAGCAUACAUAGAAGUUGUUCUGGAAGUGUGUCUUCAAUGGGAAAGACGUUUGGGAUGGGUUUUUUUGUUUGUUUGCUUGCUUCAUGUGUCAUUGGAUUGUUGUGGUUUGGUCUUAAUCAAUUGUUCUUCAUGUAAACCAGAUUCUCACUUCCAUUCAUCCAUGCUCAUAUGUGUAGGGAUAUAACCCCGGUGUCCUGGUGAAAUUUCCCCACUGGCCCUUCUCUAUCAUGGCCUCUAAUAAUCUCCAUCUCUGAAUUGGCUACAUCACUCUCUCCUCUCCACUAAUAGCUGGUGUGUGGUGGGCGUUCUGGUGCACUAUGGCUGCCGUCACAUCAUCCAGGUGGAUGCUACACACUAGUGGUGGUUGAGGAGAUCCCCCUCCCCCCAAAUACUAUAGGCAUCUGGACCUGUUCCCUCAUGUGUCAUAAACAUUAACAAUUCCUCGGUGUCCAACUGCAUCAUUGGAAACAACAACAGCUUGUGCUGUCUUCUCUCUCAGACUGAUGACAUUAACGAUGCAGUAGAAGAUACACAGAGGAGUCAGCAGAGAGAAACGCCAGACUCCUCAGCGGCUCCUAACGUUCAGGUGGAGCACUCCAACGUAGAGUACGUCAUCAUAGGGGACAACAACUACAUGAACAUUGAGAGCAGUCUGGACUCAGAAGAUCAGGAAGAAACGGAUAGUGUGCUGGAGGAUUUUGGGGGGAUAAAGAGGGUGAGAUAAUCAAGAUGGAGACCACAGACUGCAUAUAACAUACGUUAUGUUCCUUGAUGGCAUCAUAAAAAAAAAAAAAGAAAAGAAAAGUUGUCAUGAGCAAAGAAACUCAGGUGAUGUUUUACACAAGCACUCAGUUUAAAACCAGUCAUGGUUAAGAAGGUAUACACAUUGGUGUGAUCUAAUCCAUAGCAGUGUGCAUAGCAUUGUAAAUGCUGUCUCAUGUCAGUACCUCAGUAUUGAUUUGGGUUUUUGUUUUUUUUUGUUACAAAGCGACUGCUAUAUAUUUAUAAGCUAUGUCUUACUGCUUUUGUGCAUGUUUUAUGCUUCACCCAUGAUGAACUGUUUUAUAUUUAUAUAUGAUAUGUUAUUUAUUAAGGCUUGUGAACCUUGUUUGAGUUUUAGUCGAAAAAAUAUAUUAAAAAA